GUUCGGGCAGGGCCGUCACAGGAGCCCCCGAGAACAGACGUCACUCUAGUUUCACCCCCAGCGAUGCGACACCAGCACAUUGAGACUCCAACUUUAUUAUUGUUCACACUCGGUUGGCCAACAAAGGGGACAGGCAGCCUCGAGUCUUCCUCCGCACCAUACAAAACAUCUGCUCUUUGGGUCCCAUUCGCGGCCUACCUCACUGCACCGGAACUUUCCAAUGGAAGGACACUGUGGGUGGGUCAGACUCCAGUGGUUUUUUCUGUUCCUAUUUGUACGAGCUCUGAAGGGAGUGUGGACCUUCCUGUGUGUCACCCGCUGUCUUCAUGUCUGCCUGGCCUCGCGGUUCACCGUCCCCAGAGCCAGAGCUCCUACACAGUUCUGAGGUGCGCGAAGGGUGCCAGCCGAGCAUCACUGCCAUAGAACAAAGGCCUGCCUGCACCAUCUGUGGUGGAGAAUUCCAUCCUGUUCAUGCCAGAAGCACCAUACUGCUCGCGUGGCAUCAACACUGAAACCAAAGAUGGAUGUUUUCGCUCAACAGAAACACCUUCUGCCUCUCUGGGCCUGUGGGCCUGUGGUCGGUCCCCAGUGGAAUGGGUCCAAGUCGCCGCUAGAAGCAGAGGUGAAGAGGCCCGGGGCAAACACUCAGCCCUCGGCUGCUUGCUCGAGAAGGGGAAGGGGACAAGCCCCGCGCUGGGAGCUGACUAGUGAGAAUAGGGGGCAGAAAAUGCACAUUCGAGUCUCUAAGCAACCUAAGGCCCUCCACCUUCUCUGAGCCUCCCUUUUCUGUAAAACGUGAAUGUGAGGGAUCAAUUGUGAAAUUGGCCCCAAUUGCCCCUCCCUCCGCUGCACCUACGCCCUUUCCAGGGUCCCUUUUCAGCCCUGCCCCUGAGUGGUAGAGCGUGUCUUCCCACACCGUGCACUGUGGGGCCUUGUGACGGGCUCUGGCCUCCGUAGUGUAGCAGCGGUGACAGGGAGCCAGUUUGGAGGCUGGGCCCCUGGAGGCUGGCACCCCUGUUCGUUCCUCCUCGUUCGUUGUGGCCUGAGAGUAAGCCUGGCCAGCCUGCAAGGAGGAGAAUGGAGGCGUCCAGCUGGCAGCUCUUGGGGGCCACCAGCACACUGCCUAGUGACCCACAGCUGUCCAGAGGCACAGAGGAGAGCACAGUCCAAACUGCCCUAACCGCCUGGCAACUCCCAGCCAUAGAGGCUGCCCAGCUGGACUGGGAGCUCAGUACAUGCUGUUUGAAGCCACUAGAGUUUGGAGUGGUUUGCAACACAACAAUAGCUAGCUUAUUCUUGCUCUAGCUCACAGAUGUGGUGAAGGUCAAGCGAAGCCACGUUUAUUAGAAUGCUUCGUGCAUCGUAAAUAGCGCACAGAUAGGCGCUGUCUCACCCAUCCCGAACGUCUCGAUCUGUGUUGAGAUGGAGUAAGACACUCACCGAUGUAAGCAGCCCCUUCUCUCCCCUCCAUGCUCUGCUCCAGCACACAGAAGAGCUUGUGUUUUCUCUUCUAAAUACUUUGGGCAACCUGUAGUCUCCCUCAUGUGCUCAACCAGUACUUACUGGCCAGCUACGAUGUGCACGGCACCGUUUCAGGCACCGAGGAUACUGGGCUUAGGUGGGUUAGCGGAGGAAAUCAAUGAGUGUAUAAAACAAAAGUAUCAGAAAGGCUACGGAGAAGACAAGUAUGGGCGGGGGGGGCAAUUGAGUAAUUGAGUAUCUAGACAGGGUGCUGUGGGAAGGAGGUCAUGAUGAGAGAGAGCCAAUGGCUGGAAGAUGCCAGAUGGUUGGUGUUUCUCCUCACAAGCUGGGAGCUGCUACGCUCCUCAGGGUCCUGCCUUGCGGUCACGAGUUGGUGGAAUUGGCAGUGCUAUUUGCUCACCAUAAUUUUAGUGGCAGGGAGCUCACCAACGCCUGACAUCACUGGAUUACAUAUUUGGAAAGAAAGAGGUUUAGAUGUGUCUUAACGAUGUAUUGCUGAGCAAAAUGUCACCCCAGAACUUAGUGAUAUAAAAUGCAAAUAGCUGGGGCGCCUGGGUGGCUCUGUGGGUUAAGCGUCUGCCUUCAGCUCAGGUCAUGAUGAUAGGGUCCUGGGAUCGAGCCCUGGGUUGGGGGGGUGUCCCUGCUCAGUGGGGAGCCUGCUUCUUCUUCAGCCCCUCCCCCUGCUUGUGCUCUCUCUCUCUCAAAUAAAUGAAUAAAAUCUUUAAAAAAGAAAUAAAAU
This 2221-nucleotide long non-coding RNA is filed under the name Ursus maritimus (polar bear). RNAcentral's name for it is "lncRNA (ENSUMAG00000016374.1)". The record is from RNAcentral. Lineage: Eukaryota; Metazoa; Chordata; Mammalia; Carnivora; Ursidae.